CACCCUGAUCUCCCCCUAUCUCUCUGUCCUCUCUCCCUUAUCUCUUUCUCUCCCGAUCUGAGUGGCGGCUACAUCCACUUUCUCUCCUCUCAUUUAUAUGGAGCUCCGCCCCGAAGUGGAGGAAAGGGUACGCGACCGUCGAUCUAUGUGCGUCUAGGCAUGGAGGGCACCCUCCUCUCGCGCUCCUUCUUCGUCUGGAGCGCUAGCAUCCCAGACAGCGUAGAUCCACUACCCCUACGUCCGCCCCACGCCGGCCGCCGGUGGCUCGCAUAGAUCUGUUCCUCCCCCACCUGCCGCACGCGACAGAGCAUGCUGCCAUGUUGUUUUGGUGCAGCCAGACCGCCGCCCCUACCCUCACGCUCCGGGUAGAGGCUCGUUCUUCUUGGUGGUGACUACACGUUCCUUCCCGGUGGUGGCACUCUUCCUGCCGUCUUAUGUUUCUCCCAGCGGCUGCGCCCUUUGACACCUACCUCGAAUCAAUCAAUUCGUCAAUAGAGAGAUGAAGCUCCAAAGAAGUGUGAUGAGGAAAAAGCCGGUACACCUCUACUCUUUGUAGUAUAUAAGAGAGGACGACUAAACUAAUAUUGCCAACAUAUAUGUUUGUUGUCCUUGACCUGGAUACCGAUGACACUCUUUUUCUUUCAGUUUGUAGUUGGUUUGCAUUGCUUCAACAAAAGAAUUUUGUCUGAAUGUGGUAAAUAACAGUUGGUCUAGAGUCAUAUGGGUACAGUGCAGCAUAUCAACUCUGCCCCUACACAAUAUACAUGUCAUUAGUCAUUACUUAUUUCUUAAGAAAUAACUUGUUUUGUUGUUUUCUGUUGUGAACUACAUGAUAUGGACAUUUCACUCCAGUUUGUGCUAUUUUUUAACUCAAAUUGACAUGUUGAUAUGUCAUCCUAGAAUUUUGUUGUUCCUAUUGGGACCUAUAUUAUCAAUUUUACACCUUGCAGAAUUUAUGACUAACAGGUUAUAUGCUGGUAUCUUACUCUGUGGAUUUCGACAUUGGACGUUUGACCAAAAUCAUAUACUGGAGAAUGCUUGUAUUAUAAUAGAAGGUAGACUUACCAAUCGGAUAGAGUGAACAAUACUUAUAUUAGUGUUUUCCAUUGUAUUGCAUGUGCAUUGUGGUCACUAGUAUCAAUCCAUAGAAAUUACGCUGUAUGCUGAUGGAUGAAAUGAAUAGUACCUAUAUCCUGACUUGCCACUACUAUAUUGUAGCUUCUAAAACACUUGUAUGCACAGAUAGUUUCUCUUGGUUAUUAUAACUGAAACAUUAUUGAGAUAAAUCUCGCUCAGUUUUUCAAGUGGGGAAGGAAAGCUUCAAGAUGUUCCACUUAAAGCGCUGAUAUCUAUAUGAUGGUUUAUAAUCUACCAGUGGAACUUUAAAUGAUACAGUUUACCAAUUUCAACAAAGUGUGUUAGCAGAUUAAGUAAAAAAAGUGUUACAUAUGAAAUGAACUGGAUUCAACCAUUCUCUAGAAGAAAGAAACUAUUUGUCAUAUCGUGAUAUUAUCUUGUAGAAUAACAACAGGGAUAUGUUGACAUUUGACACUUAUGAUGUCCUUUUUCCAUGAUGCUUCGCCUACUGUUAAUAUCCUCUUCUCCAACUGACACAUUCUUGCAAGCAAUCACUAUUGAUGAAAUAGUUAUGAGCACUUUUCUUGUAGAGUAUAAUAGAUCUUUUAUAUGGAACUAUUCAGUUGACUUGUGAAGGAAUAGCUAAUGUCAUGCUUGAAUAACUGGGUUGUUGUCAUGACCUUAACAGUGCAAAGCUAUGCAUAUAAAGUUGUCAUGCUUGUAUAAGUGGGCAGUACAUAAAGCUGCUGUUGUGACCUUAACCAUCCAAAACUAAUGAAAAAAUUUGAGAUGUGCUAGUGUGUAUACUAUAUUGGAACAUAAUGCAUAGUUCCUGUAUGUGCAGCAAUUCAAUUGCCCUGUGAAGUAAUAGUUGAUGCCAUGCUUGUAAGUGGGUCGGUUUCAUUACCUUAACAGUGCAAAGCUAUGCACGUAUCAUUCACAUUUUAUUUUGAAUUUCCCUUCAGCAAUUACUUGUGAAUGUUUCAGCACUAAACUGUAUUUGGCUGAGUAUAUCAAUAUUCAAACUUGUUUGUGUCGCUUUCACUAUUUUGUGAGCCUUUAAUUGCUCUAGUGUUCACAUCUUUCGUCUUGGAUACUAUAUCUGUUAUUUGACCUGACUAGACGCUUAUUUAUGAUUAUCACAGAUAAAAAUGAUAUUUUUUUAUGUUUGUUGUCGAUUUUCAAGAAACAAAGUAGUUGCUGCCUAAAUCUGGAACAUUUCCUAGACUUGUAUUAUUAAUGUAGUCUGACCAUCUUUAUUUCCAACAACAUAUACUAUUAGCAGAUGUUGGAAUUCAUAUUGGCUUUAUACAAAAGAAUUUUUUUUCUUAUAGUAUUGUUCUAUUGGUGAAGUGAAUAUUAAAAUAAUUUAUCUCGAGGAGAAACUGAAAGAAUUCCAGAUCUUGAUGAAUGUAUACCUUGGUUGUGAGGAUCUGAAGAAACCCUUUUUCCAUUGCAGGUAGUGGAGCAAGAUUUCUUAUAUCUGGGUGAGGGCAUCAAUCAAUGUUGGGACAAGGAAUCUCAUCACUACAAUAUAUAGCUAACCCAGUGGACCAAGCGUGUUCUUGAGCAUAGCGAGACGAAAAACAUCUUUCCUGAGUUGGCAUGUGAAGGAAACAAACCAAAGGAGUGCACUCACACGGAACCAUGAAGCCAAUGAUCUACGUCAACUAGAUGUUUUAGAUUUCAUUUUGUACCACUGAUGUCUCAUACUUGCAUCUUUUACCUGUCCUUUUGUGAACUUGAUGAUGGUGUCUUGGUGGUAAUAUUUAGAACAGAAUGAAGUGUAUGUAUGUGACAAAUAGUUGUGUAUGUAUGUGAAAAAUAGUUAAUGGAACAAAAAUAUUUGGUGCA
This is a long non-coding RNA of Triticum aestivum (bread wheat), 2931 nucleotides long. RefSeq lists it as uncharacterized. NCBI's taxonomy places the organism in Eukaryota, Viridiplantae, Streptophyta, Magnoliopsida, Poales, Poaceae. The record is from RefSeq and is a predicted model, not a curated record. The transcript is spliced from 3 exons.